GGUAACAGCUCAAAUUUGAAAUCUGGGUCUUUCAGGCUCCGAGUUGUAAUUUGUAGAAGAUGCUUUGGGUGCGGUCCCGGUCUAAGUUCCUUGGAACAGGACGUCAUAGAGGGUGAGAAUCCCGUAUGUGAUCGGUGGCUUGCGCCCGUGUAAAGCUCUUUCGACGAGUCGGGUUGUUUGGGAAUGCAGCUCUAAAUGGGUGGUAAAUUUCAUCUAAAGCUAAAUAUUGGCCAGAGACCGAUAGCGCACAAGUAGAGUGAUCGAAAGAUGAAAAGCACUUUGGAAAGAGAGUUAAACAGUACGUGAAAUUGUUGAAAGGGAAGCGCUUGCAACCAGACUUGCGCGGGGUUGAUCAUCCGGGGUUCUCCCCGGUGCACUCGGCCUCGCUCAGGCCAGCAUCGGUUUCGGUGGUUGGAUAAAGGCCUUGGGAAUGUGACUUCUUUCGGGGAGUGUUAUAGCCCUCGGUGCAAUGCAGCCUACCGGGACCGAGGACCGCGCUUCGGCUAGGAUGCUGGCGUAAUGGUUGUAAGCGACCCGUCUUGAAACACGGACCAAGGAGUCUAACAUCUAUGCGAGUGUUUGGGCGUCAAACCCAUACGCGUAAUGAAAGUGAACGGAGGUGAGAACCCUUAAGGGUGCAUCAUCGACCGAUCCUGAUGUCUUCGGAUGGAUUUGAGUAAGAGCAUAGCUGUUGGGACCCGAAAGAUGGUGAACUAUGCCUGAAUAGGGUGAAGCCAGAGGAAACUCUGGUGGAGGCUCGCAGCGGUUCUGACGUGCAAAUCGAUCGUCAAAUUUG
RNAcentral lists this ribosomal RNA (796 nucleotides) under Pezicula eucrita. Its description in RNAcentral is "eukaryotic LSU rRNA". It matches the Rfam family "Eukaryotic large subunit ribosomal RNA", at positions 100 to 913 of the family's 3401-position model. The record is from RNAcentral. Lineage: Eukaryota; Fungi; Ascomycota; Leotiomycetes; Helotiales; Dermateaceae.